This 722-nucleotide ribosomal RNA is filed under the name Plagiochila heterophylla. RNAcentral describes it as "eukaryotic LSU rRNA". The stretch from base 419 to 572 matches the Rfam family "5.8S ribosomal RNA". Lineage: Eukaryota; Viridiplantae; Streptophyta; Jungermanniopsida; Jungermanniales; Plagiochilaceae. The record is from RNAcentral.
GAAGGAGAAGUCGUAACAAGGUUUCCGUAGGUGAACCUGCGGAAGGAUCAUUGAACACACAAUGCAGCAAACCAGCGAACUGUUGUUGUCCCCCGAGGGGCCUCACCCGGAGGUGGGGCCGUCGACGGCGUGGUUCGGCCCGAGAGGCUGGCCCGUGGGCGUAGCGGAUUCCUCGCUGUCGGCUGGAGUGUCCCAUUGUCGUGGUCUCGGCCGUCUUGUGCUGGCGCCCCUUGGUGGGAGUUAGCGUCUGGCGGUCGGGGUCGGGCAUUCCCCUCCCCCUUUUGCCCCGUCUUUGGGGUACCUGGGGCCGUUUUUUCCCAUAAGCACCCUGAGGAACAUGAGUUUGAAGACUGAGCUUGGGGUCCUUUGUGUCGCCUUUGCCGGCGAUGCAAGAGCCCGAGUCGAAAACCAAAAUAACGACUCUCAGCAACGGAUAUCUUGGCUCUUGCAACGAUGAAGAACGCAGCGAAAUGCGAUACCUAGUGUGAAUUGCAGAAUUCCGCGAAUCAUCGAGUCUUUGAACGCAAGUUGCGCCCGAGGCUUGUCCCGAGGGCAUGCCUGCCUGAGCGUCACCGCACUCCCACCUGGAUGCUCUCCAGCGUGGAAUUGGCCGUCCGGGACCCUGCUUAAGGCUUUUGGGUCGUGGUGGGCUGAAAUUUAGCUAUCUGGGCGUGGCCAAAGAGGGGGGCCGCGAGAAGGUGAUUCGCUCUUUGCGGAGCGGA